UUACCUGGCCUUGACAUACUAAGAACUUUCCAGAGAUGGAUUGGUGCCUUCGGGAACUUAGAUACAGGUGCUGCAUGGCUGUCGUCAGCUCGUGUCGUGAGAUGUUGGGUUAAGUCCCGCAACGAGCGCAACCCUUUUCCUUAUUGCCAGCGGGUUAAGCCGGGAACUUUAAGGAUACUGCCAGUGACAAACUGGAGGAAGGCGGGGACGACGUCAAGUCAUCAUGGCCCUUACGGCCAGGGCUACACACGUGCUACAAUGGUCGGUACAAAGGGUUGCUACCUCGCGAGAGGAUGCUAAUCUCAAAAAGCCGAUCGUAGUCCGGAUCGCAGUCUGCAACUCGACUGCGUGAAGUCGGAAUCGCUAGUAAUCGCGGAUCAGAAUGCCGCGGUGAAUACGUUCCCGGGCCUUGUACACACCGCCCGUCACACCAUGGGAGUUUGUUGCACCAGAAGUAGGUAGUCUAACCGCAAGGAGGACGCUUACCACGGUGUGGCCGAUGACUGGGGUGAAGUCGUAACAAGGUAGGCGUAGAUGA
Molecule: ribosomal RNA, 538 nt
Filed under: uncultured bacterium
Lineage: Bacteria
Description: bacterial SSU rRNA
Rfam family: Bacterial small subunit ribosomal RNA
Source: RNAcentral